UACAGAGGGUGCAAGCGUUAAUCGGAAUUACUGGGCGUAAAGCGUGCGUAGUCGGUUAUCUAAGUCGGAUGUGAAAUCCCCGGGCUCAACCUGGGAAUUGCAUUCGAUACUGGAUAGCUAGAGUUCGGCAGAGGGAAGUGGAAUUUCGGGUGUAGCGGUGAAAUGCGUAGAUAUUGGGAGGAACACCAGUGGCGAAGGCGGCUCACUGGCCCGAUACUGACGCUGAGGUGCGAAAGCGUGGGGAGCAAACAGG
RNAcentral lists this ribosomal RNA (253 nucleotides) under uncultured bacterium. Its description in RNAcentral is "partial 16S ribosomal RNA". It matches the Rfam family "Bacterial small subunit ribosomal RNA", at positions 524 to 776 of the family's 1533-position model. The record is from RNAcentral.